AUGAGUUCCAUGUUAAAUGUUCGUUUUGUGCAAUUGAAACUGAGACAACGAAACUCAAACACAUGUUAAAAUAGUAUAUUCUACUGUUACCUAUGCAAUUUUUCUUUUCUUUUCUUAUUUUGCUUUUUUACUUUUUUUUUUACUGCAAUAAAACAUCAUUUCAAUGUGGACAUUUUCAAUUUAAUAAAAGUAUUCAAUUAUUAUUAAAUAAAAACCUGAACAUUUUUGGCUAAUUUCAUUUCACAUUAAAUUUUAGUAAUAUACAUUUAUUAAAAAAAUACAACUACUUUAUAGUUGCGAGAAUUCGAUUAGUUUUAAAUAAGAGCGAACAUGAUUUUCACUCGAUUAACAUUUAUAAAUUAGAAGGGUAUACACACCGGAAUGCCAGUAAAUAUUUUCUUCUCUAGAAGGCAUCCAUCACCUGUGGCAUCAUGAAGUUCAACAUUUUUUUUUUCGGGGAGACGGGCGAUUCAAAAAGCAAUUUCGUUAUUGUUUUCUAAAAGAUUUGCUAAAAAAGAAUGCCAAUUUUGUGUGAUCCACACUUGGAGUUUAAACCGCUAAUUACCUAAUUAAAUAUCUGAUCAAUCACGAGCUUCAUGGAAACAUAGCCAACAAAAAAUAAAAUAUCUUUGGGAUGAGACACAGCUAAAUUGCAAUGCUUUUAAACGAAUCAAUAGUCAAGAAACUAGAAACCUCCACAAACUGAAAUCAAAGCAAAGCAAAUGAUCAAUGCAAAGCAGGCCAACUAAAGCAACCACAUCAAACCGACAUUAAAAUCUUAUUAAUUUGGACCUUCACAAUUUGAAUCCAUUUCUUUCAAUCAUAUUCUGAGCAGUGAGCACCAGUUUCUUUUCUCUCUAAGGCUUCCAGAGAAUGGUGGUUUCAGCUAUCUUUGAAGUGACAACAUAUGGAUCCAUGUUAGAUGCUGGCCUCCUAUCUUCAAAAUAACCUUUUCCAUUUUUCUCAGUGUCACGGCCAACACGGAUAGAUGCACCCCUGUUUGCAACCCCCCAAGAGAAAGUGUUGAUAUCAGCAGUCUCAUGGCGACCUGUCAAUCGCCUCUCAUUACCCUCUCCAUAAGCAGCUAUGUGCUCCUUGUGACGCAGACCCAACUUCUCAAUAGCCUUCUUGAUCACAUGUAUUCCACCAUCAUUUCUCAUUGACUUGGUGCUGUAGUUUGUGUGUGCACCAGCUCCAUUCCAAUCACCCUGAAUUGGUUUUGGGUCAAAAGAAAGGACGACCCCUGCAAUUUCGGUUAUUCGCUCAAGAAUGUAUCGAGCAACCCACAAUUCAUCACCAGCAGAAAUACCAACAGCAGGGCCAACUUGAAAUUCCCACUGGCCAGGCAUAACUUCACCGUUGAUGCCACUAAUAUUGAUACCAGCAUACAAGCAUGCCUUGUAGUGGGAAUUCACGAUAUCCCUGCCAAAGGCCUUGUCAGCCCCAGCUCCACAGUAGUAGGGACCCUGGGGGCCGGGGAAGCCACCAACUGGCCAUCCAAUAGGCCAUUUAACA
RNAcentral lists this unclassified non-coding RNA (1515 nucleotides) under Hevea brasiliensis (rubber tree). The record is from RNAcentral. Lineage: Eukaryota; Viridiplantae; Streptophyta; Magnoliopsida; Malpighiales; Euphorbiaceae.